GACGAACGCUGGCGGCGUGCUUAACACAUGCAAGUCGAACGGUGACGAAUGGAGCUUGCUCUGUUCUGAUCAGUGGCGAACGGGUGAGUAACACGUGAGUAACCUGCCCCUGACUCUGGAAUAACUUCGGGAAACCGAAGCUAAUACCGGAUAUGACACAGAGCCGCAUGGUUUCUGUGCGGAAAAGUUUUUCGGUUGGGAUGGACUCGCGGCCUAUCAGCUUGUUGGUGAGGUAAUGGCUCACCAAGGCGACGACGGGUAGCCGGCCUGAGAGGGCGACCGGCCACACUGGGACUGAGACACGGCCCAGACUCCUACGGGAGGCAGCAGUGGGGAAUAUUGCACAAUGGGCGAAAGCCUGAUGCAGCGACGCCGCGUGAGGGAUGAAGGCCUUCGGGUU
Molecule: ribosomal RNA, 400 nt
Filed under: uncultured bacterium
Lineage: Bacteria
Description: bacterial SSU rRNA
Rfam family: Bacterial small subunit ribosomal RNA
Source: RNAcentral